Molecule: ribosomal RNA, 253 nt
Filed under: uncultured bacterium
Lineage: Bacteria
Description: partial 16S ribosomal RNA
Rfam family: Archaeal small subunit ribosomal RNA
Source: RNAcentral
UACCAGCACCCCGAGUGGUCGGGACGUUUAUUGGGCCUAAAGCCUCCGUAGCCGGUUCCACAAGUCUUCCGUUAAAUCCAACUGCUUAACAGGUGGGCUGCGGAAGAUACUAUAGAGCUAGGAGGCGGGAGAGGCAAGCGGUACUCGAUGGGUAGGGGUAAAAUCCGUUGAUCCAUUGAAGACCACCAGUGGCGAAGGCGGCUUGCCAGAACGCGCUCGACGGUGAGGGAUGAAAGCUGGGGGAGCAAACCGG